RNAcentral lists this small RNA (45 nucleotides) under Paenibacillus sp. P22. The record is from RNAcentral. Lineage: Bacteria; Bacillati; Bacillota; Bacilli; Caryophanales; Paenibacillaceae.
AAUAACGGCAGGCGGGAAUGGAACCAUUCCGCGCCUGCCGUUAUU